UCCCUUCGGGGUGACGUUAUCGUAACUUAGUGGCGAACGGGUGAGUAACACGUGAGUAACCUGCCUUUCAGAGGGGGACAACAGUUGGAAACGACUGCUAAUACCGCAUAAGACCACAGAGCGGCAUCGCUCAGGGGUCAAAGGAGCAAUCCGCUGAAAGAUGGACUCGCGUCCAAUUAGCUGGUUGGCGAGGUAACGGCCCACCAAGGCGACGAUUGGUAGCCGGACUGAGAGGUUGAACGGCCACAUUGGGACUGAGACACGGCCCAGACUCCUACGGGAGGCAGCAGUGGGGAAUAUUGCACAAUGGAGGAAACUCUGAUGCAGCGACGCCGCGUGAGGGAAGAAGGUCUUCGGAUUGUAAACCUCUGUCUUCAGGGACGAUAAUGACGGUACCUGAGGAGGAAGCCACGGCUAACUACGUGCCAGCAGCCGCGGUAAAACGUAGGUGGCAAGCGUUGUCCGGAAUUACUGGGUGUAAAGGGAGUGCAGGCGGGACGGCAAGUUGGAAGUGAAACCCAUGGGCUUAACCCAUGAACUGCUUUCAAAACUGCCGUUCUUGAGUGGUGCAGAGGUAGGCGGAAUUCCCGGUGUAGCGGUGGAAUGCGUAGAUAUCGGGAGGAACACCAGUGGCGAAGGCGGCCUACUGGGCACUAACUGACGCUGAGGCUCGAAAGCAUGGGUAGCAAACAGGAUUAGAUACCCUGGUAGUCCA
This 715-nucleotide ribosomal RNA is filed under the name uncultured bacterium. RNAcentral's name for it is "bacterial SSU rRNA". It matches the Rfam family "Bacterial small subunit ribosomal RNA", at positions 75 to 797 of the family's 1533-position model. The record is from RNAcentral.